GUCCGGCCUGUUUUUCUUUCGUAACAAAAAGGUAGGUUUGGUCCCCGCAUCCCAGUCUGGGCUGCGGAGAUUGCCCCUUACCUCUGCUGGGCCGGGCCUGAGAGAAUGAGGGAAUAUUGUCUUGGGGAGGAGAGCGGGACCACCACGUGGGCGCCGCAGACGCACCCGCACCUCCUGACCCCCAAAGUGAGAAAAAUAAUCACAAUUACAAACCCCCCCCCCCCCAAAACACAAAAAUAAAACCCGUAGUCUUUCCCUCUGCGUACCACCGCGUUGGGCUCUGGGCUUCAGAGCGUCAGGCCUGGUGUGGGGGAAGGGGAGAUUGGAGUGGGGGAUGAGAGACAGCUCAGUCCCACCCCCACUCUUCCCCUUUCUUCCAAACCCUCCCCCACCCGGCUCAGCAAGGAGGGGCGGGGGCGCUAGGCCGAGAGGAGCGGCCCAGGCCCACUCCUUCUGUUUGAGGAGGGGGCGGCGGCUCGCGCACCUCCUCCCGCCCACAUUUGCCCUCCGCCGCCAAUCACCCUUAUUAAUUCGCGCUGGGAAAGGAUCACACACUGGAAGUUCGUCAACGGAUGCCUGGAAAAGUCUGGAGGACACGGAUGUGGACAGUAAGGGAGAAGGGUUGGGACUUUCGGGGUGGGGUGGGUGCUGGGCGCUAGUCAUGGCCACCUGAGCUGCGCUCUUGCCCAUUUCCAUCUUCUCAGACCAGUGUGCCCCUCCCCUCCCCUAACGACCCCUCUCCACUUGUGAGCUGACCCACACCUAUCCAGGCUGGACCUUGGCUGAGGCACGGCUCCCAAACUCUGGGGGGAGACAAGUCCUCCCCAGCCCAAAUUCUGGGUGGAACGUGCCUCAGAACUAGUAGGAGGGGCAAGCUCAGCCCCACUCCCAAGCACCAGCCAACCCAAAGGAACGCUGGCUGCCUCAGUUGCUGUCCACAGGAAAGGAGGGGCGCGGAUAGUGGUUCUUUGGCUGUCUGAGGCACAGGAGGAUCCAGAUGGAGGCACUGUUCCUGGAAACACCUUAAUGAACCUUCUAGAGCUUUCGGAGGACAAGGGGAGCAGCCGUGAUCUGAGGCCCUGAGUCUUGGGUAACACAAUAAUAAUGAUGAGGAAAUUGAGGCACAGCAAGAGUGAGUAACUUGCUAAAAGCUAGAAUUGGAACUCAGGCCAGUUUGUCCUCUUAACUCCAUGGAGUUGUGUUACCUGGCGAAGUACCACUCUGCAAGGGCAAGAGGAAGUGCUGAGCAGGCAGAGAGGACCCCAGGAGAGGAAUGCCCUCUAUGGAAAUGGUGGUAAGAUGUGUAGUCUGGGGCUCCAUUUGGGGAACUGCUGAUCCUCAGGCAUCCAGACAGUUGUGGGAAAGAUACCUUUCAUCCUCUCCGUCCUCGAGAACUUCAGCAAUUUGUGGAUUCUAAGACAUCCUCCCCUGACUUCCUUGUCCGGGACUGCAACCACCUGGACCACGUGCUCAGCUGCAUUGCCCCUCUCAGAUGCUCAGAUGGGUUGGCUGCACGAGGGCAGGGAUGGGGCCUUUAUGCCUCGGUGAAGGCGGUGUCCAGCACAGGCCAGGCACACCAUAAGUGCUCAGUAUGCAGGCACUGAAUGAAUGAAAGAGAAUGAGUGAAAUGGUGACCUCUGCGUACAUUUAUGAGAAAUCUCAGGACAGGACUGAUACUGGAGGCCAUAGGGUGACAUUCCAGAGGUAGGCUCCUGCCAAAGGGCCCCUUCUCCCUCCCUCCCCUCCUGCUACUCCUCUGGAAUGAAAGGCCUAAAUGGUAGCAUCUCCCUAGAUCCUGGCCCUUUCUGUGGCGCAGCCAGGUACAAUGGAAAGCACACCAGCUUGGGAGCCAGGCAGAUCUGCAUUCUAAUCCUGCCUCCACACCUUACUGACUUGGGUGAAUAAAACUUCGCUGUGCCUCAGUUUCCUCAUCUGUGAAAUGGGCAUAAUAACCCCAACCUCACAGGGGGUUAAGAUUCAGUAAAUUACUCCAAGUAACUGGUGCCUAGUAGAUGUUUCACGUAUGUUAGCUUCCCUCCCUCUUUCUGUUGGUUCCUUUGGCUCAUCACAAGGAUAUGCCUACCCCCAUCACUUAAUCUACCUGGAGGGUACCAGAGCCCACUUGAUUAAAAAGCUUUUGUUUCCAGAGGACCCAGUAGUGGCUGAAGGUGUCACUCCCAGGACAGAAAGCUCCUGCAGGGCAGAGACCCUGCCUUCCUCAGCUCCUCAUCCUCACAGCAUCUGGCACUGCACCCUGCAUACCGAGGUGCUCAGGGCGGCUUUCAUUCUCCAGCAUCCCGAAGUCACUCUCAGCUCCUCCUUGGUACAGGGCCACUUGUGAGGGUCUGCCCCGCAGCAACACGUGGAAUACCUUCUCACGGAGGACCUCAGCUGAUCCUCACUUCCCGGUCAGGUGGGGCAAGUAUUGCUGUCCCCAUUUCACAGAUGAAACCGAUGCUCGGAGCAGCUCAGGGCCUUGCCCAACAUUGCACAACCAGUUAAGUGGCAAAGCUGGCAUUGGAACCCCAGCCUCUGGACUCGGAGAUUCUCUGAGUUUUUCCCGAGCAGCACAUCUGUCUUUGAAUGGGUGAAGAGGAGAGAGGGACUGUCAACACUGGCUGUCGCACCGGCCUGGGGGGUCUCUGGCCAUGUGUGGGGGUGAAGCCUGGAUCUCUGUAGGGGGUAAUACAGAGACAGGAGUCAGGACAUGGAGACAUGGAGAGAACUAAGGCAACCGGCCCCAUGGGAAGUAGGCUGUGGGAAUUGUCUGCAAAAGCGUGAAGGGCUUCAGACUAAUUCUGUGCGACUUUUGAGGCCAGAAUGCCGAGAACCAAAUGGAAGUCAGAGGAAUAUAGAUUUAGGUUCAACAGAAGGAAGACAUUUUUAGUAGAGUUUUCCAAAGCAGCACAUUCUCCACGCAUCUCAGGCACCAACUCCUGCUGCCUCGUACAGAGGGAUUUUUCACUCUUGUUUCCUCUGCUGGAAUAAGCAUUGGGGGGGCAGGUUCACCUCUCUUUGAGCUUCACUUCCUCACCGUGUGUGUGUGUGAGUGUGUGUGUGUGUGUGUGUGUGUGUGUACAAUCUGUCCUCAAUAAGUGUUUGGGAGUCCCGGUCACUGAGGCGCUCCAGCCGAGGCAAGGGAUGUUCUAAGAUGUGGUUGGGAGCCUGAGCUCUGGAGCGGAUGCCAGUAAGUUUGAAUCCCAGUUCUGCUGCUAGGCGAGGUGGCUUAGAAUUUCUGAGCCUCAUUUUUCUCAUCUGUAAAAUGGAGUUAAUAGUCCUUACCACAUAAAAUUGUUGUGAGGACCAAAUGACGCACCUUGUGUGACUAGCAGAGUGCCCAGCACACGGAAAGCUAAUAAUGCAGCUUUUUUGAUGACAUAUGUGGUUGAGGGGCUGUGUCAUGGGCUAGAGAAAUGGGGUAGGUGCCCACUAAUGUCCCAAUUCUGACAGCACGUGAGUCUUUUCCGUGAGCAUCAGGAAAGGAGCUGAGUAGAAACCAGGAAGCAGAUAGACUCAACGGAGGAAAACUGGGUUCAAAAUAGACAGGACUCCCAUUCAGAGUCCCUAGGUUCUUGAGACUGUCCCGUGGACUUUUCCUACCUUGCUCUGCCUGUCCUCCUCUUAGGCAAGCCCCCCACACCUAAGGUUCGGACCUGGGCAUCAUUAACCCCAGAAAAGGUGCGAGAGUCCCCAUCAGCGUGGCCUGCCCUGAAAGCCUCGCCUCAGCCAAGAACAGGGCCCAAACGUUCUGAUUUGGCUGUCACCUGCCCUAACCACAAGCCCUUUGCUGGCCCAAGCCUUUAAACCAGCCAGAUGACGUGGCACCUCCUGGAAGGUGGCGGUGGCUCCUGCAUGCCAGACACCCCGGGCUAGGAAAGGCCCUCGGCCACCUCGGGAGCAGCCCUCAGCCUCUAGCACUGCUGCUCCUCAAAGUUUCAUAGUCCGUUUUAGAGAUGGAAGGCACCUCAGGGGUCCCCAGAGCCCCUGGGUCUCAAAUUCUGGGCUCAAGAAGGUCUGGAGUGGGCCUGGAAAUCUGCAUAUUAAUAAGCUGGCCCCCUCUACUGCCAUGAGACACUGAUUUGGCCCAGCUCCCUUGCCCUCGGGGAGAAGCUGAGCCUGAGAGGGGACAAGACGGCCCAGGAUGACAUACUGGAACUGGACGAAAGCCCAGCUCUCUGGACCCUGGUACAGGGUGUUUUCCAGCACGGCUGCCUGUCAGGGCUCACUCCCCCGGAGAAGGGGAGGGCAGUUCACUUGGAGGUCUUCCUGAGUCUGGUCCCCAGGCCUCCUUCAGAGGUCGUGUCAGUUACACAAGAACCAGUCACCCUCCUGGAAACGGCCGCUCAAAACAGCGAGAUGAGGAGUCUCGGGCCUGCCGGGGUCUCCUCAAGGCCAAGGCAGGGGAGCGAGUCGGUGUUUGGGGCUGGAUCCAUGGAGGGUCAUGCAGGCACACAUUCCAAAAUAGCCAUUACACUGGCGGAAAAUUUUGGUCUGAUUUGGAAUUACCUCUCUAUUCACCAGCACCAGCACCAGCAUUGGCACCAGCACUGGGCACAUGGGACCGAAUGAUGGCGUGUUGAAUAAAUGGAUGAUCCUUAAUGUUGGUUGGACUCAGUCAUCUCCAAGGCUACAUGCCCCUCCCCUCAGUGGCAAGAGGUGUGGGGACUCAGCGAAGCCUGGAGAACGCCAAACAGUGGGCGCUCAGAACAGAGGAUGGCCAGGGAGGUGCAGCCGAGAGGAGGGAGGGGGUGAAGAAGGCAGCCGUGAAUCAGACACCUCCCCAUUCCCACCCAAGGGGCCAACUCCCAUCAGGUCUCAGCCCCAGAGGUUCCAUGAACAGAAUGGGUCUCCGUGACGGUGCGCGUAAAGUGGAGAUGUUGCUUUUGUGAGCAUGUGACGAGUGUGUAACUGAAACUCUGUAUGUGUGACUCUUUGUGGCUUGGGUGUGGCUCUGUGCGUGGUGUGGGAGCUGUGUGGUUGUGGGCUGCAUGUGACUGUCCGUGUGGCUGUGUGUUUGUGUCACUGUGUGCGUAGAAAUGGGAGUUGCCUGUGCGAUGUCGUGCGUGGCUCACGGAGGCUGGUUUUGAGAGUGGCUGGGUGUGGAGAGUGCACUGGUUUUGAGAGAGCAUGUGGCCAUCUGUGUGGCUGUGUGUGGCUCUGCGUGAUCUGUGUGCACCUCUGGGUGGAAACAGCUGUCAUGGAUGCGUGUGACUCUGUGGGACUCUGCGAUGUUGUCUCUGAGUGUGCCGGCGGGUCUGACUGUUAUUGUGGGCAUCUAUGCAACUUCCUGGUGGGUUACUGGCAUUGCAUGUUGUGUGUGUAGCUAGGUGUUAUGCCCUCAGCAGUGUGUGUCACUGUGUGUCCCUCAGGGACUUGGUUGUGUCACCUUGUGUGACUGUGACUGUGUGUGAGACAGCAUGCCCCUCAAACAACCUUCUUUGGGUUCUUUGAUGUGGCUGAGUUUCUAGGGGCCGCAGGACGCCUGCCUCACUCUUGAGGACUUCAAAAGAUGGCGGCCCUUUCUGCCCAGCGAGGGAAAAACCCAUUUCCCCUCACCCUGCCCCUCUCCUCCCGCCUGGAGGAGAAGCCUGUUUGUUUUCCUAUUUUUACUGCCUUGGAUGAGUUCAUGGCCGCAACUGACUCACCACUCUUUCCGAGAGACUUGGGGAAGGAAAUCGGGGUUGCUUGCUUGGGGCCUCUGCCCACUAGCCCAGGAUUCCAGAGCAGGGCCAAGGAAGACAUCUAGGUCCACUGAGGGCUGUGUGAGCACCUCGAGCCAUUCACCCUCCCCGAGCCUGGAAGGUCAGCGAGUCUUUAGAGGUGACCGUCCAGGCCCCAUCUCCUACCCCAAAUGAGAGGCUCUCUCCUCAUCUAAGAUGCCUCCAGUCACAAGGUCAAUUGAAAGGGAGGGGGCAGAGACACCAGCUUCUCUGUCCCUCUGUCCCUAAGCCCUGGGGACAGGAGGCUGAGCACUAGCUGGUCUGGACUCAGGGGAUUAACUGUGGCACUUUCUGGAUCUUGAUGCCCCCUGGUCCCCAGACUCCUCUGCACAUCUGGACACAGGCUCCAGGGAACAUUCCAGAAGACCUGCCUUCAUUUACUGUCUCACGUUGAGAAGGAUUCUGGGGAGACUUUGGGAGACCCCCAAGGAAAUGACUAUUGUGGAAGAACUGCCUUGUUUUCCCUUUGGGGGGCCCUUUGUCCCCAGCCUGGUGUAGGGGUGUCUCUGUGUCAGGGGCUCUGUGAGGAGGGUAGCCCCUGACCAGGGUCACAUCGACACCUAGACAGACAUCUCAGGUCUGGAGAAAUUAAGGGAAGAAGGAAGGGAUUGAGGUGGUGGAGCAAGUGGACCAGCAGGUGACCUUUGCCCUCUGCCCUCCCCUCAAACCCUGCAGGAGCCCCUGGCUGCUCCAGCAAGGGGCGGGGGUGGGGGGACUCCAUCUGGGUGGGGCCGGUGGAAUCUGGCGGACCUCCUGGGGGCUGCCCUGGGGAUGGACGCCCAGCAGCGUUGGGAACAGACUGAGUCAGAUCCGGAGAGCGGCACAGGGCGGCCCAGCUGAGAUCACGGCCUGGUGGCUGGAGGUGGCCUCCCAGCUCGAGUCCUCCACCCCCAGCUGGUGUCCAUCCAGAGAGCCCUCCGACACGCACCAGGCGCCUUCCCGGCGUCAGUGUAGCACUCCUGGGACGCAAGAUGCUCAGAGCCAAGACCAGGCCGUGACUGGGCUCCAAUCUCCACCCUUCCCGUGUGCCCAAAUUGACGGAGGCGUGACCCUGCCCUCACGGAGCCCCCAGUCUGAGAGAAGAUGAGAAGAUGGAGACGCACUUAAAGAACACAAAGAUGAAGGGGUCUGCCCAGUGGCAUAGCAGUAAAGUUCACGUACUCUGCUUUGGCGGCCCAGGGUUCGUGGGUUCGGAUCCCGGGCAUGGACCUAGCACUGCUGGUCAAGCCACACUGUAGAGGCAUCCCACAUGAAACAGAGGAAGACUGGCACAGAUGUUAGCUCAGGGCCAUUCUUCCUCACCAAAAAAACCCUCAAACCCCCCACAAAGAUGAAGGUCAAAAGGAAACCCCCCAGUGGACCAGGUCAGGGAGAGACGCACUGUGCCCAAGAGCCUAGGGCAGGCACUGUCCUGACACGAAGCGGCCAUGGGUGCCCGUGUGGGUCAGCUCGCUCGUGGCUCCUUCGUCCAGAAGCCCGGCCUCUGACCCCCUUGUACCCACAGUGCACUGAGGCUGGGAGUUGUGCAAGGGUCAGCAGGCAGGGUGGCGGGCUGGCUGGGGAGGGGAGAUUCCUGUCUCCUGCCCCAGCUCCCUGAGGCCUUCCCUCCCGCAGCCUUGGCCUCGGUGCGCAGCAAGCUGUUGGAGCUUGUUUGGCCUAAGGGUUCGCACCCUGCCUCCUCCCCCUCGCCUUCCUGCUCAAGAACAGCAGCCAGAGGCCUGAGACGGAGGAAAGCCAGGGGCUGGUGGUGGGCCGGGGCACUGCUGAG
This 7488-nucleotide long non-coding RNA is filed under the name Equus caballus (horse). Its description in RNAcentral is "lncRNA (ENSECAG00000044650.1)". Lineage: Eukaryota; Metazoa; Chordata; Mammalia; Perissodactyla; Equidae. The record is from RNAcentral.